RNAcentral lists this long non-coding RNA (1299 nucleotides) under Numida meleagris (helmeted guineafowl). RNAcentral's name for it is "lncRNA (ENSNMEG00000003374.1)". The record is from RNAcentral. Lineage: Eukaryota; Metazoa; Chordata; Aves; Galliformes; Numididae.
ACAAUGAGGAUGCGACGGGAGUGACUCUGCCCGGCUAAAAAUAUCCUCCCCACCACCGCCGCCAGCGCGGCCUCAAGGUCACCACCCGCCUGGUGGGGCCGGGGGGGCGCGGGGGUGUGGGGCGGGGAAGCCCCCGGCCCCCCCUCGUGCUGCCGCUCCCUCCCAGAGGCGCCCGCGGCUCCGGCACAGAGCAGCCCCCGCGCCCCCUCCUCGUCCCCGCGUCCUCGUCCCCAUCCUGCGGGGCUGUGGCAGGUGAGCGGGGGGUGGGGGGGGGCUCAAGCUGCUUUUGCUCGCGGAGCUUGGGGGGGGGGACCCCGGGGAUGGGCUCCCCCCCCGCCGUGGCCCCGCGCCCGCCGGAGCAUCCCCGUGUCCCCCCGGGGGACGCGGGGACGGCGCGGUGCGCCGGGUGGGGGAGGGGGCUGCAGGUGGCAAUAGGCUGGCUGUGUCCCAGCUGGGGGCCCCUCUGGGAUGCGCUCGUCCCCUUCUCGCUGUCCCCAUCGUGGGGACGAGGAGGGAUCCCCACAGCCCCCUGGGGAGGGAGGGGGCAGCAGGGCUGGGUGAAGCCAUUGCGGCUCAGUGCAGCCUCUGCUGCAGCGCUCAGGCCCAGCGUGUGGCCCCCCCGUCCCAGCACAUACUCCCCCCCCAGUUCCUGCAGGCUGUGCCCAGGACCCCCAUGCAUGCCAAUAUCACAUGGGGACCCCCUCCCCAUCCUCUCCUGCCCCCCAGGACACCUGGUCUGAAGGCCGUGUUAUCUCCGUGCUCCCAUAGGGCCAGCCCCCCUCCUCUUGCUGUAGGGCCAAGGUGGGUCCCAGCCCCCAGCGCUGCCCCCCGGGUGGGGGGUUCACCCCACUGUCACUGCAGCACUGGGGGUCCGCAGCCACAAGGCGCUGCUGCUGGCUCUGGGGGACGUGCAGAGCCACCGCUCAAGGACAUCCACCACUGUCACCUGCGGCCAAACCAGGGGACCGCGGUGUCCCCGUCCCCAUCCCCACGCUACGGCCGUGCAGGGCAGGGAUGUGCUCAGCACCCGCAUCCCUCAGCAUCCCCAUAGGGUGCACUGCUGUGGGGACAGGGACACGGACACGGACAGGGCCAUCCCGCUCCGGGGUCCGGCAUUCAGUCGGCCCCAGCAUCUCCCCAAAGGACGGAUCCCUGUGUCUGACAGGGAGGAUUGAACGAGGCCUCUUUGCGCUGCCGGCAACGUGAGCCCUGAGCGACACGACCGCGGCGUGCGAUGGGUCCUGAAAUAUUGCCCAGGAUCCAUCCGGGAGGGCCCUGACCCCAGUGAGGAGCCCCCCG